Molecule: ribosomal RNA, 253 nt
Filed under: uncultured bacterium
Lineage: Bacteria
Description: partial 16S ribosomal RNA
Rfam family: Bacterial small subunit ribosomal RNA
Source: RNAcentral
UACGUAGGGUGCAAGCGUUGUCCGGAAUUAUUGGGCGUAAAGAGCUCGUAGGCGGUUUGUCGCGUCGAAUGUGAAAACCCGGGGCUCAACCCCGGGCCUGCAGUGGGUACGGGCAGACUAGAGUGCGGUAGGGGAGACUGGAAUUCCUGGUGUAGCGGUGAAAUGCGCAGAUAUCAGGAGGAACACCGGUGGCGAAGGCGGGUCUCUGGGCCGUAACUGACGCUGAGGAGCGAAAGCGUGGGGAGCGAACAGG